GCAAGUCUGGUGCCAGCAGCCGCGAUAAUUCCAGCUCCAAUAGCGUAUAUUAAAGUUGUUGCAGUUAAAAAGCUCGUAGUUGAACCUUGGGUCUGGCUGGCCGGUCCGCCUCACCGCGUGUACUGGUCCGGCCGGACCUUUCCUUCUGGGGAGUCGCAUGCCCUUCACUGGGUGUGUCGAGGAUCCAGGACUUUUACUUUGAAAAAAUUAGAGUGUUCAAAGCAGGCCUAUGCUCGAAUACAUUAACAUGGAAUAAUAGAAUAGGACGUGUGGUUCUAUUUUGUUGGUUUCUAGGACCGCCGUAAUGAUUAAUAGGGAUAGUCGGGGGCAUCAGUAUUCAAUUGUCAGAGGUGAAAUUCUUGGAUUUAUUGAAGACUAACUACUGCGAAAGCAUUGCCAA
This 400-nucleotide ribosomal RNA is filed under the name uncultured fungus. Its description in RNAcentral is "SSU rRNA". It matches the Rfam family "Eukaryotic small subunit ribosomal RNA", at positions 555 to 961 of the family's 1831-position model. Lineage: Eukaryota; Fungi. The record is from RNAcentral.